CACCCAGUAGGUAGCAGAGCCGGGAUCUGAACCCUUCCUUGUCUAACUUCAAAUUCCACCAGGCCCCGACAUUCUCCAGCUUCCAUGGUGUUCCUGCAAUCCAAGUGCUGCUGACCUCUCUACAGAAGGAAGUCAUCUCCGGAGAUAAAGAGAGUGAGCCCAAGCCACAGAAAGAAAAGGAGAAUGAAGAGCGGGCACUGUGGCUCACACCUGUAAUCCCAGCACUUUGGGAGGCUGAGGCAGGCAGAUCACAAGGUCAGGAGAUCGAGACCAUUGUGGCCAACAUGGUGAAACCCUGUCUCUACUAAAAAUACAAAAAUUAGCUUGGCAUGGUGGUACACGCCUGUAGUCUCAGC
This 356-nucleotide long non-coding RNA is filed under the name Rhinopithecus bieti (black snub-nosed monkey). RNAcentral describes it as "lncRNA (ENSRBIG00000045967.1)". The record is from RNAcentral. Lineage: Eukaryota; Metazoa; Chordata; Mammalia; Primates; Cercopithecidae.